This 497-nucleotide ribosomal RNA is filed under the name uncultured bacterium. RNAcentral's name for it is "partial 16S ribosomal RNA". It matches the Rfam family "Bacterial small subunit ribosomal RNA", at positions 28 to 507 of the family's 1533-position model. The record is from RNAcentral.
GAUGAACGCUGGCGGCGUGCCUAAUACAUGCAAGUCGAGCGAACGGACGAGAAGCUUGCUUUUCUGAUGUUAGCGGCGGACGGGUGGGUAACACGUGGAUAACCUACCUAUAAGACUGGGAUAACUUCGGGAAACCGGAGCUAAUACCGGAUAAUAUUUUGAACCGCAUGGUUCAUAAGUGAAAGACGGUCUUGCUGUCACUUAUAGAUGGAUCCGCGCUGCAUUAGCUAGUUGGUAAGGUAACGGCUUACCAAGGCAACGAUGCAUAGCCGACCUGAGAGGGUGAUUGGCCACACUGGAACUGAGACACGGUCCAGACUCCUACGGGAGGCAGCAGUAGGGAAUCUUCCGCAAUGGGCGAAAGCCUGACGGAGCAACGCCGCGUGAGUGAUGAAGGUCUUCGGAUCGUAAAACUCUGUUAUUAGGGAAGAACAUAUGUGUAAGUAACUGUGCACAUCUUGACGGUACCUAAUCAGAAAGCCACGGCUAACUACGUG